Molecule: ribosomal RNA, 253 nt
Filed under: uncultured bacterium
Lineage: Bacteria
Description: partial 16S ribosomal RNA
Rfam family: Bacterial small subunit ribosomal RNA
Source: RNAcentral
UACGUAGGUGGCGAGCGUUGUCCGGAAUUACUGGGUGUAAAGGGCGUGUAGGCGGGUGGAUAAGUCGGAUGUGAAAUACCAUGGCUCAACUGUGGGGCUGCAUCUGAAACUAUUCAUCUUGAGUUCUGGAGAGGGAAGCGGAAUUCCAAGUGUAGCGGUGAAAUGCGUAGAUAUUUGGAGGAACACCAGUGGCGAAGGCGGCUUUCUGGACAGUAACUGACGCUGAGGCGCGACAGCGUGGGGAGCAAACAGG